CCUACGGGAGGCAGCAGUGGGGAAUAUUGGACAAUGGGCGCAAGCCUGAUCCAGCCAUACCGCGUGUGUGAAGAAGGCCUUUUGGUUGUAAAGCACUUUAAGCGAGGAGGAGGCUCUUGAGGAUAAUACCCUUGAUGAGUGGACGUUACUCGCAGAAUAAGCACCGGCUAACUCUGUGCCAGCAGCCGCGGUAAUACAGAGGGUGCGAGCGUUAAUCGGAAUUACUGGGCGUAAAGCGCGCGUAGGCGGCUUGUUAAGUCGGAUGUGAAAUCCCCGGGCUCAACCUGGGCACUGCAUUCGAUACUGGCAAGCUAGAGUAUGGGAGAGGAAGGUAGAAUUCCAGGUGUAGCGGUGAAAUGCGUAGAGAUCUGGAGGAAUACCGAUGGCGAAGGCAGCCUUCUGGCCUAAUACUGACGCUGAGGUGCGAAAGCAUGGGGAGCAAACAGGAUUAGAUACCCUGGUAGUCCAUGCCGUAAACGNUGUCAACUAGCCGUUGGGACCUUGAGUCUUUAGNGGNGCGNGCGUAACGUCGAGUUAGUUGUACCGCCGUUGGGUAGGUUACGGUUCGGCGAGACGAACGUUACGAAGAAGUUAGACGGCGNGAGAGNGCGAGGACGACGACGAGGGAGGUAGG
Molecule: ribosomal RNA, 634 nt
Filed under: uncultured bacterium
Lineage: Bacteria
Description: bacterial SSU rRNA
Rfam family: Bacterial small subunit ribosomal RNA (bases 1-548)
Source: RNAcentral